Molecule: ribosomal RNA, 394 nt
Filed under: uncultured bacterium
Lineage: Bacteria
Description: bacterial SSU rRNA
Rfam family: Bacterial small subunit ribosomal RNA
Source: RNAcentral
GACGAACGCUGGCGGCGUGCUUAACACAUGCAAGUCGAACGAGAAAGGCUCUUCGGAGCCGAGUACAGUGGCGAACGGGUGAGUAACACGUGGGCAACCUGCCCCAAGGAGCGGGACAACCCGAGGAAACUCGGGCUAAUACCGCAUAAUUCGCAGAGCCAUAAGACUCUGCGGGAAAUGGUAGCUUCGGCCUCCGCCUUGGGAUGGGCCCGCGGCGCAUUAGCUUGUUGGUGAGGAACGGCCCACCAAGGCGACGAUGCGUAGCUGGUCUGAGAGGACGAUCAGCCACACUGGGACUGAGACACGGCCCAGACUCCUACGGGAGGCAGCAGUGGGGAAUCUUGCGCAAUGGGCGGAAGCCUGACGCAGCAACGCCGCGUGUGGGAAGACGGCC